GGGCCCUGCGCGAGGCAAGAGGCGUGGUCGCAAGGCCUGGGUUGCCACCAGCUUACCCAUCCCCUGGAGCUAAAGGGGGCGUCCAGCGUUCGAUUUCCCGUGUGCCUGUCUCCAUCCUGGAAUUCCUGACCUCUAUGGAGUGUUCAUUGUGCGCCAAGCACCGUUCCUCAAGACGAGUAGCUGAGGGGGCGUCAUCCUUACUUUUCAGACGAGCAAACUGAGGCCCGAGGAUUUCCCACCUGCACGAUGGCAGUUCCUGCUUCACUGUUCUGCAAGUGUCCACUCUUCACCCAUGGAGUUAGUCACACAGCAGCCAAGUCCCAAGCCGGGUCUGGUGAUGCACACCCUACGCACAGGAAGCAGAGGCAGGCAGAUCUCAGUUCCAGGCCAUCCAGGGGUACAUAGGGAAAUCCUAUCUUAAAAUUCAUAAUAGAGGGGCUGGAGAGAUGGCUCACUGGUUAAGAGCACUGACUGCUCUUCCAGAGGUCCUGAGUUCAAAUCCCAGCAACCACAUGGUGGCUCACAAUCUGUAAUGAGAUCUGAUGCCCUCUUCUUGUGUGUCUGAAGACAGCUACAGUGUACUCAUAUACAAUAAAUAAAUAAAAUCUUUAAAAAAAUUCAUAAUAGUAAUAAUAAUUCUAAGUGUAACAAAAGUACAUUAAAAUAAUUAUUGAUUCAAGUGCAAUGUUAUACUGAAAUGUAUUCAGACAUAUGCAUAAUAUUUAUAUAUGUAUAUGCUCAGAGUAGAACAGAUAGGAACAGUAAAAACAAAUUGAAUUAUGUCAGAAAAAGAUCCAAAAAGAAGCCAGUCGUGCUGCUGAGUAACAUCUGGCAGGCCCUAGAGUCAGAAUCGAAAGCAGCUGGGUGACAUCAGGCAGGAUCUUAAAGCUGCAGCCCAAGUUAGUUUCGAACUCACGGCGGUCCUGGCAUCUGAAGGGCAGCAGCACACCCAACUUUUCUUCUUGUACUUCUUCUCCCCCAUUCAUGUAAUCUUUGCUCGGAUGCCGAUGACCCCCAUUUCAGAGAUGCGGGAAAGGAGGCUUUGAACAAAUCAGUCACUCAACCAAGGAUGUACACCUGGCCAAGCCUCGGGCUCUUCCUCAUUGCACCUCUUCACCUAUGUGCAAGCAACAGAUCUUUCCAACAGUCUUCUGGACAUUCCUAGAGGUAGCUCAGCCCUUGACCUUUUGGCUACAAUCAAGAGUAGCAACAGAACUGAAGUUGAUGGCACACAGGGGAGACGGAGGCAGGUAGAUCUGAUUUUGAGACCAGCCUGGCCUACAGAGAGAAUUCCGGGACAUCCAAGGCAACAAAGAGAGACCCUGUCUCAAAAGUAAAAUAAAAUAAAAUAAAAUGCUGAGUACAAUCACCACAGAGCCUGCUCAUCA
Molecule: small RNA, 1388 nt
Filed under: Rattus norvegicus (Norway rat)
Lineage: Eukaryota; Metazoa; Chordata; Mammalia; Rodentia; Muridae
Description: uncharacterized LOC100909912
Source: RNAcentral